AGCCUUCUGAAUCCGUGCUGAGAUUUCGUCAGACACCAAUCGAUUAAGGCUGAUCAGACUCCUACGAUAAGUGAAGCU
MicroRNA precursor from Schistosoma mansoni, 78 nucleotides. It matches the Rfam family "mir-3492 microRNA precursor family". The record is from Rfam. NCBI's taxonomy places the organism in Eukaryota, Metazoa, Platyhelminthes, Trematoda, Strigeidida, Schistosomatidae.